Molecule: ribosomal RNA, 465 nt
Filed under: uncultured bacterium
Lineage: Bacteria
Description: partial 16S ribosomal RNA
Rfam family: Bacterial small subunit ribosomal RNA
Source: RNAcentral
GACGAACGCUGGCGGCGUGCUUAACACAUGCAAGUCGAACGGAGAGGCCCCCUUGUGGGGUACUCGAGUGGCGAACGGGUGAGUAACACGUGAGUAACCUACCCUUGACUUUGGGAUAACUUCAGGAAACUGGGGCUAAUACCGGAUAGGAGCUCCUGCUGCAUGGUGGGGGUUGGAAAGUUUCGGCGGUUGGGGAUGGACUCGCGGCUUAUCAGCUUGUUGGUGGGGUAGUGGCUCACCAAGGCUUUGACGGGUAGCCGGCCUGAGAGGGUGACCGGCCACAUUGGGACUGAGAUACGGCCCAGACUCCUACGGGAGGCAGCAGUGGGGAAUAUUGCACAAUGGGCGGAAGCCUGAUGCAGCAACGCCGCGUGCGGGAUGACGGCCUUCGGGUUGUAAACCGCUUUCGCCUGUGACGAAGCGUGAGUGACGGUAAUGGGUAAAGAAGCACCGGCUAACUACGUG